This 612-nucleotide ribosomal RNA is filed under the name Automolius humilis. RNAcentral's name for it is "Automolus humilis partial 16S large subunit ribosomal RNA". It matches the Rfam family "Bacterial large subunit ribosomal RNA", at positions 1844 to 2790 of the family's 2925-position model. The record is from RNAcentral. Lineage: Eukaryota; Metazoa; Arthropoda; Insecta; Coleoptera; Scarabaeidae.
UUUAAAGUCUAAUCUGCCCACUGAGGAUUUAAAUGGCCGCGGUAUUUUGACCGUGCAAAGGUAGCAUAAUAAUUAGUUUUUUAAUUGAAAGCUGGAAUGAAUGAUUGGACGAGAGAGUUACUGUCUCAAUUUAAUUUAAUUAGAAUUUUAUUUUUAAGUAAAAAAGCUUAAAUUUUAUUAAAAGACGAGAAGACCCUAUAGAGUUUAAUUAUUUUUUUAUAUUAAAUAUAAAGGAUUAUUAUUUUAUUAUAAGUGGAAUAAUUUUGUUGGGGCGAUAGAAAAAUUAAAUUAACUUUUUUUAUAUUAAAUCAUUAAUUGAUGUUUAAAUGAUCCAUUUUUUAUGAUUAAAAGACUAAAUUACCUUAGGGAUAACAGCGUAAUUAUUUUUGAGAGUUCUUAUCGAAAAAAUAGUUUGCGACCUCGAUGUUGGAUUAAAAUUAAUUUUUGGUGUAGAAGCUAAAAUAUUGGGUCUGUUCGACCUUUAAAAUUUUACAUGAUCUGAGUUUAAACCGGUGUAAGCCAGGUUGGUUUCUAUCUUUAAUAUAUUAAAAUAUUUUAGUACGAAAGGACCGAAUAUUUAUAAUAAUUAUUUAUAUAAGAAUUUUAUUAAUA